UGGGGAAUUUUGGACAAUGGGCGAAAGCCUGAUCCAGCAAUGCCGCGUGUGUGAAGAAGGCCUUCGGGUUGUAAAGCACUUUUGUCCGGAAAGAAAUCCUUGGCUCUAAUACAGUCGGGGGAUGACGGUACCGGAAGAAUAAGCACCGGCUAACUACGUGCCAGCAGCCGCGGUAAUACGUAGGGUGCAAGCGUUAAUCGGAAUUACUGGGCGUAAAGCGUGCGCAGGCGGUUUGCUAAGACCGAUGUGAAAUCCCCGGGCUCAACCUGGGAACUGCAUUGGUGACUGGCAGGCUAGAGUAUGGCAGAGGGGGGUAGAAUUCCACGUGUAGCAGUGAAAUGCGUAGAGAUGUGGAGGAAUACCGAUGGCGAAGGCAGCCCCCUGGGCCAAAUACUGACGCUCAUGCACGAAAGCGUGGGGAGCAAACAGGAUUAGAUACCCUGGUAGUCCACGCCCUAAACGAUGUCAACUAGUUGUUGGGGAUUCAUUUCCUUAGUAACGUAGCUAACGCGUGAAGUUGACCGCCUGGGGAGUACGGUCGCAAGAUUAAAGCUCAAAUGAAUUGACGGGG
RNAcentral lists this ribosomal RNA (571 nucleotides) under uncultured bacterium. Its description in RNAcentral is "partial 16S ribosomal RNA". It matches the Rfam family "Bacterial small subunit ribosomal RNA", at positions 355 to 918 of the family's 1533-position model. The record is from RNAcentral.